This is a long non-coding RNA of Neofelis nebulosa (Clouded leopard), 563 nucleotides long. RefSeq lists it as uncharacterized. The transcript has 5 exons. The record is from RefSeq and is a predicted model, not a curated record. NCBI's taxonomy places the organism in Eukaryota, Metazoa, Chordata, Mammalia, Carnivora, Felidae.
AGGACAGGAAGACUGCCCUUCUGAACCUCCUCUCUGUCAAAGGACUUCUAGGGAUUUUCAGCAUGUGGAGGAAGAUCAGAAAGUCUCCGCGGAACUUCUGCCAAGCUGCUGAAGUCACAGACUCUUCCCACACUCCCCUGGGUCUCGUCAAUUCUUAUCAAGGAUUCAGGGGUGGCAGCAGCAGCCUUCCCACUUCAGAAAAGGAAGUUGCAGAUUUGUCCUGUGACGAUGUUUGCGUGUGGUGACCACCAGAGGGAGCUACUUAAUGACCUUAAUGAUGGAGUGAGGGCAGAGCAGGAAGAAGUGCCCCUUUGAACUCUUGACUCCAAGCUCCUUGAGAAAGAAGCAUAUUGCCGGGAAUGAAAGAUCUCUAAUGAGACCAAAUGGCAGAACAAGAUUUCUCACCUCUAUAGCUCUGAGCUGGAGGGACCACCAAGGUCAAUGAGGACUACAUGAAGCCAAAGGAAUUGUAACAAAUGGAAAUGUGAGUGAAGAGCAUUAUAAAUGACUGAACAACUUAUUUGAAGACCCAGAGAACUCAAAGAACGGGAGCCAGGGAGUGA